UGAGUAACCUGCCCUUAACUCUGGGAUAAGCCUGGGAAACUGGGUCUAAUACCGGAUAUGACUCCUCAUCGCAUGGUGGGGGGUGGAAAGCUUUUUGUGGUUUUGGAUGGACUCGCGGCCUAUCAGCUUGUUGGUGAGGUAAUGGCUCACCAAGGCGACGACGGGUAGCCGGCCUGAGAGGGUGACCCGGCCACACUGGGACUGAGACACGGCCCAGACUCCGUACGGGAGGCAG
Molecule: ribosomal RNA, 235 nt
Filed under: uncultured bacterium
Lineage: Bacteria
Description: partial 16S ribosomal RNA
Rfam family: Bacterial small subunit ribosomal RNA
Source: RNAcentral